GGAUCGAUGACGACCCCCUCACACUGCAUUCCUUGGAAAAGCUGAACAAAAUGAGAGAACUCCAACCAUUGUCGUUCUCAUUGGAUCUGAGGUCC
Pteronotus mesoamericanus is the source of this 95-nucleotide small nucleolar RNA. RefSeq annotates it as small nucleolar RNA SNORD116. Lineage: Eukaryota; Metazoa; Chordata; Mammalia; Chiroptera; Mormoopidae. The record is from RefSeq and is a predicted model, not a curated record. The transcript has a single exon.